Molecule: ribosomal RNA, 459 nt
Filed under: uncultured bacterium
Lineage: Bacteria
Description: partial 16S ribosomal RNA
Rfam family: Bacterial small subunit ribosomal RNA
Source: RNAcentral
CCUACGGGAGGCAGCAGUGAGGAAUAUUGGUCAAUGGGCGGAAGCCUGAACCAGCCAAGUAGCGUGCGGGAUGAAGGCCCUACGGGUCGUAAACCGCUUUUGCACGGGGAGAAUACUCUCCACUUGUGGAGGUCUGCAGGUACCGUGCGAAUAAGGGCCGGCUAAUUCCGUGCCAGCAGCCGCGGUAAUACGGAAGGCGCGAGCGUUAUCCGGAUUCAUUGGGCUUAAAGGGAGCGUAGGCGGUCGUUUAAGUUAGCGGUAAAAUCGCGGGGCUUAACCUCGCUCGGCAGUUGAAACUGGACGACUUGAGUACACAAGAGGUAGGCGGAAUUCGUGGAGUAGCGGUGAAAUGCAUAGAUAUAACGAGGAACCCCGAUAGCGAAGGCAGCCUGCCGGGGUGCGACUGACGCUGAGGCACGAAGGUGUGGGUAGCGAACAGGAUUAGAUACCCGAGUAGUC